RNAcentral lists this ribosomal RNA (867 nucleotides) under Triticum aestivum (bread wheat). RNAcentral describes it as "partial small subunit ribosomal RNA". Lineage: Eukaryota; Viridiplantae; Streptophyta; Magnoliopsida; Poales; Poaceae. The record is from RNAcentral.
AUGGGGCGGCUAGGGAAUGAUCCGGUCGAGCGUGUCUCGGAGCUUCCUGAUUCUAAUACAGGGACCUGGGAUUGUGAAAAAGUACGACAGAACUUUCUUGCACCUGAUGCAGAGGCCAUAUUAAACAUCCCUAUUCGGCGCAACGGUGGAGAAGAUUUCUUGGCAUGGGCCUUUGAAAGAUCUGAAGAGUACACUGUAAAAUCAGCCUACCGUGCUCUUGUGACUCAGAAUGAGCAUCGAGCUCUAGAGGAAGGGACGGUAGAGGGAACUUCAACUUCUCAAAAACAGUUGUGUGCUGCUCUAUGGAAACUCAAGGUGAUCCCAAGAGUUCAUGUUUUCAUGUGGAGAGUUCUCAGAGGGAUACUUCCUGAUUACGCCAACAUGAAAUACCGUCAUAUCCGCACUAACUCUUUGUGCGAAUUGUGCAAAGCAAUGGAUAAAGACCUCUUCCAUGCAUUGGUUCAUUGCUCACACGCGCAAGCUUUCUGGUCUGCAGCAAAGGAAGUCAUUGGUCUCAAACUUCCAGGGCUGCAUCCUGACACAUGGGCGCGAGACUUAGUGGUUGACACUAGCUUCUCAGACUUGGACAGAUGCAAGAUCAUUGCAUUAAUUCAUUCGAUCUGGACCUCUGGGAACAGCUGGACACACGAUGAGGAAGGUUAUGACCCCGCCCAAGCAAUCAAAUGGGCUCGAGAUGAACUAGCUAUACUCGACAUGCCUCUGAUCCAACGACAAAGCACGAGGAUUCAGAAGUGGAAGCCACCCCAGCCCAGGUGGAUCAAAAUCAACACGGAUGGUGCACUUGACACUCAACUCCGGGUGGGAGGCGCGGGAGGAGUUCUCCUAAUCUCCUCCAACUCCAAAUAG